AGCUUUGCGCAGUGGCAGUAUCGUAGCCAAUGAGGUUUAUCCGAGGCGCAAUUAUUGCUAAUUGAAAACAAUACACUGAAGACUAGAAAACAUUGCUGAAAGUAAUUAGGAAGGUCUAAUAAAAU
RNAcentral lists this small nuclear RNA (125 nucleotides) under Mustela putorius furo (domestic ferret). RNAcentral's name for it is "U4 spliceosomal RNA". It matches the Rfam family "U4 spliceosomal RNA". From Rfam's summary of the family: U4 small nuclear RNA (U4 snRNA) is a component of the major U2-dependent spliceosome. Lineage: Eukaryota; Metazoa; Chordata; Mammalia; Carnivora; Mustelidae. The record is from Rfam by way of RNAcentral.